RNAcentral lists this ribosomal RNA (493 nucleotides) under uncultured bacterium. RNAcentral's name for it is "partial 16S ribosomal RNA". It matches the Rfam family "Bacterial small subunit ribosomal RNA", at positions 29 to 507 of the family's 1533-position model. The record is from RNAcentral.
ACGCACGCUGGCGGCGCGCUUAACACAUGCAAGUCGAACGGAAAGGCCUGCUUUCCCUUGUGGAUUGCGGGUACUCGAGUGGCGAGCGGGUGAGUAACACGUGAGUGAUCUGCCCCCAACUUGGGUAUAAGCCUGGGAAACUGGGUCUAAUUCCCGAUAGGACUGCAGGGUGGUGCCUGUGGUGGAAAACGAUUUUCUAGUGGUUGGGGAUGAGCUCGCGGCCUAUCAGCUUGUUGGUGGGGUAAUGGCCUACCAAGGCGGCGACGGGUAGCCGGCCUGAGAGGGUGGACGGCCACAUUGGGACUGAGAUACGGCCCAGACUCCUACGGGAGGCAGCAGUGGGGAAUAUUGCACAAUGGGCGGAAGCCUGAUGCAGCGACGCCGCGUGGGGGAUGACGGCCUUCGGGUUGUAAACUCCUUUCGACCGCGAGGAAGCCACCUGGUUGGAAGGGUGGUGACGGUAGUGGUAGAAGAAGCACCGGCUAACUACGUG